Molecule: non-coding RNA, 111 nt
Organism: Acanthosepion pharaonis
Lineage: Eukaryota; Metazoa; Mollusca; Cephalopoda; Sepiida; Sepiidae
Source: the annotation of a GenBank genome assembly
UCAGCCAUAUCACGUUGAAACACCGGUUCCCGUGCGAUCACCGAAGAUAAGCAACGUCAAGCGUGGUCAGUACCUGGAUGGGCGAGCGCUUAGGAAUACCAGGUGUUGUAA